UACGGAGGGUGCGAGCGUUGUCCGGAAUCAUUGGGCGUAAAGGGCGCGUAGGUGGCGGGACAAGCGUGCGGUGAAAGCUCGGGGCUCAACCCCGCGUCGGCCGUGCGAACUGUUUUGCUUGAGCACUGUAGAGGCAGGCGGAAUUCCGGGUGUAGCGGUGGAAUGCGUAAAUAUCACGAGGAACACCGGAUGCGUAAGCGGAUAGCUGGACGGGUACUGACGCUCAGGCACGAAAGCGCGGGGAGCGAACAGG
Molecule: ribosomal RNA, 253 nt
Filed under: uncultured bacterium
Lineage: Bacteria
Description: partial 16S ribosomal RNA
Rfam family: Bacterial small subunit ribosomal RNA
Source: RNAcentral